This 263-nucleotide ribosomal RNA is filed under the name uncultured bacterium. Its description in RNAcentral is "partial 16S ribosomal RNA". It matches the Rfam family "Bacterial small subunit ribosomal RNA", at positions 793 to 1055 of the family's 1533-position model. The record is from RNAcentral.
GUCCACGCCCUAAACGAUGUCUACUAGUUGUCGGGUCUUAAUUGACUUGGUAACGCAGCUAACGCGUGAAGUAGACCGCCUGGGGAGUACGGUCGCAAGAUUAAAACUCAAAGGAAUUGACGGGGACCCGCACAAGCGGUGGAUGAUGUGGAUUAAUUCGAUGCAACGCGAAAAACCUUACCUACCCUUGACAUGGACGGAAUUUUGAAGAGAUUUGGAAGUGCCCGAAAGGGACCGUUACACAGGUGCUGCAUGGCUGUCGU